This 253-nucleotide ribosomal RNA is filed under the name uncultured bacterium. Its description in RNAcentral is "partial 16S ribosomal RNA". It matches the Rfam family "Bacterial small subunit ribosomal RNA", at positions 524 to 776 of the family's 1533-position model. The record is from RNAcentral.
UACGGAGGGGGCGAGCGUUAUUCGGAAUUAUUGGGCGUAAAGGGCGCGUAGGCGGCCCGGUAAGUCAAAGGUGAAAUCCCUCGGCUCAACUGAGGAACUGCCUUUGAAACUGUCGGGCUAGAGUGCGGAAGAGGCGAGUGGAAUUCCUGGUGUAGCGGUGAAAUGCGCAGAUAUCAGGAGGAACACCGGUGGCGAAGGCGGAUCUCUGGGCCAUUACUGACGCUGAGGAGCGAAAGCGUGGGGAGCGAACAGG